Molecule: ribosomal RNA, 481 nt
Filed under: uncultured bacterium
Lineage: Bacteria
Description: bacterial SSU rRNA
Rfam family: Bacterial small subunit ribosomal RNA
Source: RNAcentral
GAUGAACGCUAGCGGCAGGCUUAAUACAUGCAAGUCAAGGGGGUAGCAAUACAACCGGCGCACGGGUGAGUAACGCGUACACAACAUACCAUAUACUGGAGUAUAGCUUUGGGAAACUGAAGGUAAUCCUCCAUAACAUUGCGAGAGGGCAUCUGAUUGCAAUUAAAGUUUCGGCGGUAUAUGAUUGGUGUGCGUUUGAUUAGCUAGUUGGUAGGGUAACGGCCUACCAAGGCGACGAUCAAUAGCUGGCGUGAGAGCGCGACCAGCCACACUGGAACUGAGACACGGUCCAGACUCCUACGGGAGGCAGCAGUAGGGAAUAUUGGACAAUGGAGGAAACUCUGAUCCAGCCAUGCCGCGUGAUAGAUGAAGGCCCUCUGGGUUGUAAAUAUCUUUUAUCUGGGAAGAAACACUCCUAUUCUUAGGAACUUGACGGUACCAGAGGAUAAGCACCGGCUAACUCCGUGCCAGCAGCCGCGGU